Molecule: ribosomal RNA, 484 nt
Filed under: uncultured bacterium
Lineage: Bacteria
Description: partial 16S ribosomal RNA
Rfam family: Bacterial small subunit ribosomal RNA
Source: RNAcentral
AUUGAACGCUGGCGGCAUGCCUAACACAUGCAAGUCGAGCGGAUGAAGGGAGCUUGCUCCUGGAUUCAGCGGCGGACGGGUGAGUAAUGCCUAGGAAUCUGCCUGGUAGUGGGGGAUAACGUCCGUAAACGGGCGCUAAUACCGCAUACGUCCUGAGGGAGAAAGUGGGGGAGGUCGGGCCCCCGCGUAACCAGAUGGUCCGGGAUCGGAUUACCAAGGUGGUGGGGAAAAGCCCGACCAAGGGGAGGAUCCGUAACUGUCCGGGGCGGAGAAGAGGCCACAGUGGAAGUGAGACACGGUCCACACUCCUACGGAGGGAAGCAGUGGGGAAUAUUGGACAGUGGGCGAAAGCAUGAUCCAGCCAUGCCGCGUGUGUGAAGAAGGUCUUCGGAUUGUAAAGCACUUUACGUUGGGAGGAAGGGCAGUAAGUUCAUACCUUGCUGUUUUGACGUUACCAACAGAAUAAGCACCGGCUAACUCCGUG